This 482-nucleotide ribosomal RNA is filed under the name uncultured bacterium. RNAcentral describes it as "partial 16S ribosomal RNA". It matches the Rfam family "Bacterial small subunit ribosomal RNA", at positions 30 to 507 of the family's 1533-position model. The record is from RNAcentral.
AUUGAACGCUGGCGGCAUGCCUUACACAUGCAAGUCGAACGGUAACAGGCCUUCGGAUGCUGACGAGUGGCGAACGGGUGAGUAAUACAUCGGAACGUGCCCGAUCGUGGGGGAUAACGAGGCGAAAGCUUUGCUAAUACCGCAUACGAUCUACGGAUGAAAGCGGGGGAUCUUCGGACCUCGCGCGGACGGAGCGGCCGAUGGCAGAUUAGGUAGUUGGUGGGAUAAAAGCUUACCAAGCCGACGAUCUGUAGCUGGUCUGAGAGGAUGAUCAGCCACACUGGGACUGAGACACGGCCCAGACUCCUACGGGAGGCAGCAGUGGGGAAUUUUGGACAAUGGGCGAAAGCCUGAUCCAGCCAUGCCGCGUGCAGGAUGAAGGCCUUCGGGUUGUAAACUGCUUUUGUACGGAACGAAAAGCCUCUUUCUAAUAAAGAGGGGUCAUGACGGUACCGUAAGAAUAAGCACCGGCUAACUACGUG